This 222-nucleotide ribosomal RNA is filed under the name uncultured bacterium. RNAcentral's name for it is "partial 16S ribosomal RNA". It matches the Rfam family "Bacterial small subunit ribosomal RNA", at positions 109 to 334 of the family's 1533-position model. The record is from RNAcentral.
AGUAAUGUAUGAGGAUCUGCCUGAUGGCGGGGGAUAACUACUGGAAACGGUAGCUAAUACCGCAUAAUGUCUGCGGACCAAAGCGGGGGACCUCCGGGCCUCGCGCCAUCAGAUGAACCCAUAUGGGAUUAGCUAGUAGGUGGGGUAACGGCUCACCUAGGCGACGAUCCCUAGCUGGUCUGAGAGGAUGACCAGCCACACUGGAACUGAGACACGGUCCAG